CUGGCGGCGUGCCUAACACAUGCAAGUCGAACGAGAAAGUGGAGCAAUCCAUGAGUAAAGUGGCGACCGGGUGAGUAACACGUGACUAACCUACCUCCGAGUGGGGAAUAACUCCGGGAAACCGGGGCUAAUACCGCAUAACAUCGCAAGAUCAAAGCAGCAAUGCGCUUGGAGAGGGGGUCGCGGCUGAUUAGCUCGUUGGCGGGGUAACGGCCCACCAAGGCGAAGAUCGGUAUCCGGCCUGAGAGGGCGCACGGACACACUGGAACUGAAACACGGUCCAGACUCCUACGGGAGGCAGCAGUGGGGAAUUUUGCGCAAUGGGGGAAACCCUGACGCAGCAACGCCGCGUGGAGGAUGAAGCCCUUUGGGGCGUAAACUCCUUUCGACUCGGACGAUAAUGACGGUACGAGUGGAAGAAGCACCGGCUAACUCUGUGCCAGCAGCCGCGGUAAUACAGAGGGUGCGAGCGUNGUUCGGAAUUAUUGGGCG
This 492-nucleotide ribosomal RNA is filed under the name uncultured bacterium. RNAcentral's name for it is "bacterial SSU rRNA". It matches the Rfam family "Bacterial small subunit ribosomal RNA", at positions 36 to 560 of the family's 1533-position model. The record is from RNAcentral.